AUAAUGGGUCAGCGACUUAUAUUCUGUAGCAAGGUUAACCGAAUAGGGGAGCCGAAGGGAAACCGAGUCUUAACUGGGCGUUAAGUUGCAGGGUAUAGACCCGAAACCCGGUGAUCUAGCCAUGGGCAGGUUGAAGGUUGGGUAACACUAACUGGAGGACCGAACCGACUAAUGUUGAAAAAUUAGCGGAUGACUUGUGGCUGGGGGUGAAAGGCCAAUCAAACCGGGAGAUAGCUGGUUCUCCCCGAAAGCUAUUUAGGUAGCGCCUCGUGAAUUCAUCUCCGGGGGUAGAGCACUGUUUCGGCAAGGGGGUCAUCCCGACUUACCAACCCGAUGCAAACUGCGAAUACCGGAGAAUGUUAUCACGGGAGACACACGGCGGGUGCUAACGUCCGUCGUGAAGAGGGAAACAACCCAGACCGCCAGCUAAGGUCCCAAAGUCAUGGUUAAGUGGGAAACGAUGUGGGAAGGCCCAGACAGCCAGGAUGUUGGCUUAGAAGCAGCCAUCAUUUAAAGAAAGCGUAAUAGCUCACUGGUCGAGUCGGCCUGCGCGGAAGAUGUAACGGGGCUAAACCAUGCACCGAAGCUGCGGCAGCGACGCUUAUGCGUUGUUGGGUAGGGGAGCGUUCUGUAAGCCUGCGAAGGUGUGCUGUGAGGCAUGCUGGAGGUAUCAGAAGUGCGAAUGCUGACAUAAGUAACGAUAAAGCGGGUGAAAAGCCCGCUCGCCGGAAGACCAAGGGUUCCUGUCCAACGUUAAUCGGGGCAGGGUGAGUCGACCCCUAAGGCGAGGCCGAAAGGCGUAGUCGAUGGGAAACAGGUUAAUAUUCCUGUACUUGGUGUUACUGCGAAGGGGGGACGGAGAAGGCUAUGUUGGCCGGGCGACGGUUGUCCCGGUUUAAGCGUGUAGGCUGGU
This 913-nucleotide ribosomal RNA is filed under the name Escherichia coli. RNAcentral's name for it is "bacterial LSU rRNA". It matches the Rfam family "Bacterial large subunit ribosomal RNA", at positions 612 to 1529 of the family's 2925-position model. RNAcentral also lists the same sequence under 2 other names. Lineage: Bacteria; Pseudomonadati; Pseudomonadota; Gammaproteobacteria; Enterobacterales; Enterobacteriaceae. The record is from RNAcentral.